This is a long non-coding RNA of Oncorhynchus keta (chum salmon), 953 nucleotides long. RefSeq lists it as uncharacterized. The record is from RefSeq and is a predicted model, not a curated record. NCBI's taxonomy places the organism in Eukaryota, Metazoa, Chordata, Actinopteri, Salmoniformes, Salmonidae. The transcript has 8 exons.
GAUUCCUUGGUACCAGUCUUCCAAUCUGUUGAUGCUGUUUGUCAGAGAGGGUUGGGGCUGUCCUUCGUUCAUGAGUUCCCAGUUUUCAGAUGGAGGGGGUUGUACAGUCUUUCUCUAUAGUUUGAAGGUGGAGGUUGUUGUUCAGUCUUUCUCUAUAGUUUGAAGGUGGAGGGGGUUGUUCAGUCUUUCUCUAUGGUUUGAAGGUGGAGGGGGUUGUUCAGUCUUUCUCUAUAGUUUUCAGGUGGAGGGGGUUGUUCAGUCUUUCUCUAUAGUUUGAAGAUGGAGGGGGUUGUUCAGUCUUUCUCUAUAGUUUGAAGGUGGAGGGGGUUGUUCAGUCUUUCUCUAUAGUUUUCAGGUGGAGGGGGUUGUUCAGUCUUUCUCUAUAGUUUUCAGAUGGAGGGGGUUGUUCAGUCUUUCUCUAUAGUUUUCAGGUGGAGGGGGUUGUUCAGUCUUUCUCUAUAGUUUUCAGGUGGAGGGGGUUGUUCAGUCUUUCUCUAUAGUUUUCAGAUGGAGGGGGUUGUUCAGUCUUUCUCUAUAGUUUGAAGGUGGAGGUUGUUGUUCAGUCUUUCUCUAUAGUUUGAAGGUGGAGGGGGUUGUUCAGUCUUUCUCUAUAGUUUUCAGGUGGAGGGGGUUGUUCAGUCUUUCUCUAUAGUUUUCAGGUGGAGGGGGUUGUUCAGUCUUUCUCUAUAGUUUUCAGGUGGAGGGGGUUGUUCAGUCUUUCUCUAUAGUUUUCAGAUGGAGGGGGUUGUUCAGUCUUUCUCUAUAGUUUUCAGAUGGAGGGGGUUGUUCAGUCUUUCUCUAUAGUUUUCAGAUGGAGGGGGUUGUUCAGUCUUUCUCUAUAGUUUUCAGAUGGAGGGGGUUGUUCAGUCUUUCUCUAUAGUUUUCAGAUGGAGGGGGUUGUUCAGUCUUUCUCUAUAGUUUUCAGAUGGAGGGGGUUGUUCAGUCUUUCUCUA